CCUAACACAUGCAAGUCGAACGGUAACAGGAAACAGCUUGCUGUUUCGCUGACGAGUGGCGGACGGGUGAGUAAUGUCUGGGAAACUGCCUGAUGGAGGGGGAUAACUACUGGAAACGGUAGCUAAUACCGCAUAACGUCGCAAGACCAAAGAGGGGGACCUUCGGGCCUCUUGCCAUCAGAUGUGCCCAGAUGGGAUUAGCUAGUAGGUGGGGUAACGGCUCACCUAGGCGACGAUCCCUAGCUGGUCUGAGAGGAUGACCAGCCACACUGGAACUGAGACACGGUCCAGACUCCUACGGGAGGCAACAGUGGGGAAUAUUGCACAAUGGGCGCAAGCCUGAUGCAGCCAUGCCGCGUGUAUGAAGAAGGCCUUCGGGUUGUAAAGUACUUUCAGCGGGGAGGAAGGGAGUAAAGUUAAUACCUUUGCUCAUUGACGUUACCCGCAGAAGAAGCACCGGCUAACUCCGUGC
Molecule: ribosomal RNA, 472 nt
Filed under: uncultured bacterium
Lineage: Bacteria
Description: bacterial SSU rRNA
Rfam family: Bacterial small subunit ribosomal RNA
Source: RNAcentral